GUACUUGCUUCAGCAGUACACAAACUAAAAUUGAUAAGAUUGAUAAGAGAAGAUUAGCAUGGCCCUGUUCAAGAAUGACAUGCAAAUUUGUGAAAUGUUCUCUUUUUUU
Sarcophilus harrisii (Tasmanian devil) is the source of this 109-nucleotide small nuclear RNA. The record is from Ensembl. NCBI's taxonomy places the organism in Eukaryota, Metazoa, Chordata, Mammalia, Dasyuromorphia, Dasyuridae.